GCUCCAAUAGCGUAUAUUAAAGUUGUUGCAGUUAAAAAGCUCGUAGUUGAACUUCUGACUAUUGCGUAAGCCGGAUUCGUUCGCUCUCGUGAUAGUCAUCCGCUUGGGAACUCCGUUCGAACUUAACUGUUUGGCGGAAGGAACAGGCAUUUUACUUUGAAAAAAUUAGAGUGUUCAAGGCAGGCUAUAGCCUGAAUACA
RNAcentral lists this ribosomal RNA (200 nucleotides) under uncultured eukaryote. RNAcentral describes it as "partial 18S ribosomal RNA". It matches the Rfam family "Eukaryotic small subunit ribosomal RNA", at positions 588 to 803 of the family's 1831-position model. The record is from RNAcentral.